UGAGUUUAACACUAAAUAAAAUCUCUAUAAUAAGAGUUCAAUCAGAAAUAUAAAUUAAGCUUUUGAUUCAAGGGGGAAAAAAUUUAAGUGAAGAAUAAAUGACAAUUUUAUAGGUAUAUAGUUAGUAGGUAGGGAACUUUGGAUCCACGUUGUGAGUCCAUGACUCUAAGCCCCCUAUUAUAUCCUUUGCUGAAGUAAAACCCAAUUUGUGAAGCAAUUCAACAGCAACUUGUGAAUCAUUGCCUCUUCUGCAUAUUACAAACAGAGAAGUAUUUG
Molecule: unclassified non-coding RNA, 276 nt
Filed under: Hevea brasiliensis (rubber tree)
Lineage: Eukaryota; Viridiplantae; Streptophyta; Magnoliopsida; Malpighiales; Euphorbiaceae
Source: RNAcentral